RNAcentral lists this transfer RNA (85 nucleotides) under Felis catus (domestic cat). It matches the Rfam family "tRNA". Rfam says of the family: Transfer RNA (tRNA) molecules are approximately 80 nucleotides in length. Their secondary structure includes four short double-helical elements and three loops (D, anti-codon, and T loops). Further hydrogen bonds mediate the characteristic L-shaped molecular structure. tRNAs have two regions of fundamental functional importance: the anti-codon, which is responsible for specific mRNA codon recognition, and the 3' end, to which the tRNAs corresponding amino acid is attached (by aminoacyl-tRNA synthetases). tRNAs cope with the degeneracy of the genetic code in two manners: having more than one tRNA (with a specific anti-codon) for a particular amino acid; and 'wobble' base-pairing, i.e. permitting non-standard base-pairing at the 3rd anti-codon position. The record is from Rfam by way of RNAcentral. Lineage: Eukaryota; Metazoa; Chordata; Mammalia; Carnivora; Felidae.
GCCUGGGUGGCUCAGUCGGUUGAGCGUCUGACUUCGACUCAGGUCAUGAUAUCGCGGUCCGUGAGUUCGAGCCCCACGUCGGGCU